UAAUAGUUAUAGGCUUGAAACUUAAAGAAUUUGGCGGUAUUUUAAUCUUUUUAGAGGAACCUGUUCUGUAAUCGAUAUUCCACGUUAAAUUUUACUAAAUUAUUUGUAUAUCGUUGUCGAAAAAAUAAAUUUUUUAAUUUUAUUAUUUUAAUAGAUGUCAAAUCAAGGUGCAGUUUAUAAUUUAGUAGAAAUGGGUUACAAUAAAUUUAUUUAGGAAUUUAAUGAAGAUGGAUUUAAAAGUAAAUUAAUUUUAAUAAA
RNAcentral lists this ribosomal RNA (258 nucleotides) under Mesopsylla hebes clara. Its description in RNAcentral is "partial 12S ribosomal RNA". Lineage: Eukaryota; Metazoa; Arthropoda; Insecta; Siphonaptera; Ceratophyllidae. The record is from RNAcentral.